AUUGCUCCUUGGCCUUUUGGCUAAGAUCACGUGUAGUAUCUGUUCUUAUCAGUUUAAUCCAAAUUCUCAUUGACUCAAGCCACAAUGCAUAUCAAAGAUACACUGGGGAGGAUAAGUUUUAAAUAAUGCACAGACGUAAGUAAAGCAUGGAAA
This 153-nucleotide small nuclear RNA is filed under the name Ochotona princeps (American pika). RNAcentral's name for it is "U2 spliceosomal RNA (ENSOPRG00000023363.1)". The stretch from base 1 to 120 matches the Rfam family "U2 spliceosomal RNA". From Rfam's summary of the family: U2 is a small nuclear RNA (snRNA) component of the spliceosome (involved in pre-mRNA splicing). Lineage: Eukaryota; Metazoa; Chordata; Mammalia; Lagomorpha; Ochotonidae. The record is from RNAcentral.